CAUAACUUAAUUUUUAAUUAAGUAAAUCUAUAUGUUCAAUCAAGUCUCUUACUUUCAAAUUAAACAUAUUGAUAUUAGAUCAAUUUUGUUCUACAUUGUUUGACUUUGUACAUGAUACCAUAGGUUCGAACACUAAGUCGGUAGUAUAGAAACUAUUUUCUGUACUAAUCGAAGUGACCAUCUAGCAAUGAUACUUAAUAUCCAGAU
RNAcentral lists this long non-coding RNA (207 nucleotides) under Elaeis guineensis (African oil palm). RNAcentral describes it as "long non-coding RNA (EGUI_LNC062035)". Lineage: Eukaryota; Viridiplantae; Streptophyta; Magnoliopsida; Arecales; Arecaceae. The record is from RNAcentral.